UGAGGAAUAUUGGUCAAUGGGCGAGAGCCUGAACCAGCCAAGUAGCGUGAAGGAUGACUGCCCUAUGGGUUGUAAACUUCUUUUAUAAGGGAAUAAAGUGGAGUAUGUAUACUCCUUUGUAUGUACCUUACGAAUAAGGAUCGGCUAACUCCGUGCCAGCAGCCGCGGUAAUACGGAGGAUCCGAGCGUUAUCCGGAUUUAUUGGGUUUAAAGGGAGCGUAGGCGGAUGUUUAAGUCAGUUGUGAAAGUUUAAGGCUCAACCUUGAAAUUGCAGUUGAUACUGGAUAUCUUGAGUACAUUGAAUGUGGGCGGAAUUCGUGGUGUAGCGGUGAAAUGCUUAGAUAUCACGAAGAACUCCAAUUGCGAAGGCAGCUCACAGUAAUGUAACUGACGCUGAUGC
This 400-nucleotide ribosomal RNA is filed under the name uncultured bacterium. Its description in RNAcentral is "bacterial SSU rRNA". It matches the Rfam family "Bacterial small subunit ribosomal RNA", at positions 355 to 752 of the family's 1533-position model. The record is from RNAcentral.